RNAcentral lists this ribosomal RNA (500 nucleotides) under uncultured microorganism. Its description in RNAcentral is "bacterial SSU rRNA". It matches the Rfam family "Archaeal small subunit ribosomal RNA", at positions 234 to 734 of the family's 1478-position model. The record is from RNAcentral.
AGUGGGUGUAGCGUACCUACUAGCCUACGACGGGUACGGGUUGUGAGAGCAAGAGCCCGGAGAUGGAUUCUGAGACACGAAUCCAGGCCCUACGGGGUGCAGCAGGCGCGAAAACUUUACAAUGCUGGCAACAGCGAUAAGGGAACCUCGAGUGCCAGGUUACAAAUCUGGCUGUCGAGAUGCCUAAAAAGCAUUUCAUAGCAAGGGCCGGGCAAGACCGGUGCCAGCCGCCGCGGUAACACCGGCGGCUCGAGUGGUAACCGUUAUUAUUGGGUCUAAAGGGUCUGUAGCCGGCCGGAUAAGUCUCUUGAGAAAUCUGGCGGCUUAACUGUCAGGCUUUCAGGAGAUACUGUCUGGCUCGAGGCCGGGAGAGGUGAGAGGUACUUCAGGGGUAGGGGUGAAAUCUUGUAAUCCUUGAAGGACCACCAGUGGCGAAGGCGUCUCACCAGAACGGACCUGACGGCAGGGGACGAAAGCUAGGGGCACGAACCGGAUUAGAU